This 372-nucleotide ribosomal RNA is filed under the name uncultured organism. RNAcentral describes it as "partial 16S ribosomal RNA". It matches the Rfam family "Bacterial small subunit ribosomal RNA", at positions 527 to 896 of the family's 1533-position model. The record is from RNAcentral.
GGAGGGGGCAAGCGUUGUUCGGAAUUACUGGGCGUAAAGGGCGCGUAGGCGGUAUGCCAUGUCAGGGGUGAAAGGCCUGGGCUCAACCCAGGAACUGCCUUUGAAACUGGCAAACUAGAGUCCGAUAGAGGAUGGCGGAAUUCCCAGUGUAGAGGUGAAAUUCGUAGAUAUUGGGAAGAACACCAGUGGCGAAGGCGGCCAUCUGGAUCGGCACUGACGCUGAGGCGCGAAAGCGUGGGGAGCAAACAGGAUUAGAUACCCUGGUAGUCCACGCCGUAAACGAUGUGUGCUAGACGUUGGGGGGGUCUUAGACCUGGGUGUCGUAGCUAACGCGUUAAGCACACCGCCUGGGGGAGUACGGCCGCAAGGUUA